UGCAAACUGCGAAUACCGGAGAAUGUUAUCACGGGAGACACACGGCGGGUGCUAACGUCCGUCGUGAAGAGGGAAACAACCCAGACCGCCAGCUAAGGUCCCAAAGUCAUGGUUAAGUGGGAAACGAUGUGGGAAGGCCCAGACAGCCAGGAUGUUGGCUUAGAAGCAGCCAUCAUUUAAAGAAAGCGUAAUAGCUCACUGGUCGAGUCGGCCUGCGCGGAAGAUGUAACGGGGCUAAACCAUGCACCGAAGCUGCGGCAGCGACACUGUGUGUUGUUGGGUAGGGGAGCGUUCUGUAAGCCUGCGAAGGUGUGCUGUGAGGCAUGCUGGAGGUAUCAGAAGUGCGAAUGCUGACAUAAGUAACGAUAAAGCGGGUGAAAAGCCCGCUCGCCGGAAGACCAAGGGUUCCUGUCCAACGUUAAUCGGGGCAGGGUGAGUCGACCCCUAAGGCGAGGCCGAAAGGCGUAGUCGAUGGGAAACAGGUUAAUAUUCCUGUACUUGGUGUUACUGCGAAGGGGGGACGGAGAAGGCUAUGUUGGCCGGGCGACGGUUGUCCCGGUUUAAGCGUGUAGGCUGGUUUUCCAGGCAAAUCCGGAAAAUCAAGGCUGAGGCGUGAUGACGAGGCACUACGGUGCUGAAGCAACAAAUGCCCUGCUUCCAGGAAAAGCCUCUAAGCAUCAGGUAACAUCAAAUCGUACCCCAAACCGACACAGGUGGUCAGGUAGAGAAUACCAAGGCGCUUGAGAGAACUCGGGUGAAGGAACUAGGCAAAAUGGUGCCGUAACUUCGGGAGAAGGCACGCUGAUAUGUAGGUGAAGUCCCUCGCGGAUGGAGCUGAAAUCAGUCGAAGAUACCAGCUGGCUGCAACUGUUUAUUAAAAACACAGCACUGUGCAAACACGAAAGUGGACGUAUACGGUGUGACGCCUGCCCGGUGCCGGAAGGUUAAUUGAUGGGGUCAGCGCAAGCGAAGCUCUUGAUCGAAGCCCCGGUAAACGGCGGCCGUAACUAUAACGGUCCUAAGGUAGCGAAAUUCCUUGUCGGGUAAGUUCCGACCUGCACGAAUGGCGUAAUGAUGGCCAGGCUGUCUCCACCCGAGACUCAGUGAAAUUGAACUCGCUGUGAAGAUGCAGUGUACCCGCGGCAAGACGGAAAGACCCCGUGAACCUUUACUAUAGCUUGACACUGAACAUUGAGCCUUGAUGUGUAGGAUAGGUGGGAGGCUUUGAAGUGUGGACGCCAGUCUGCAUGGAGCCGACCUUGAAAUACCACCCUUUAAUGUUUGAUGUUCUAACGUUGACCCGUGAUCCGGGUUGCGGACAGUGUCUGGUGGGUAGUUUGACUGGGGCGGUCUCCUCCUAAAGAGUAACGGAGGAGCACGAAGGUUGGCUAAUCCUGGUCGGACAUCAGGAGGUUAGUGCAAUGGCAUAAGCCAGCUUGACUGCGAGCGUGACGGCGCGAGCAGGUGCGAAAGCAGGUCAUAGUGAUCCGGUGGUUCUGAAUGGAAGGGCCAUCGCUCAACGGAUAAAAGGUACUCCGGGGAUAACAGGCUGAUACCGCCCAAGAGUUCAUAUCGACGGCGGUGUUUGGCACCUCGAUGUCGGCUCAUCACAUCCUGGGGCUGAAGUAGGUCCCAAGGGUAUGGCUGUUCGCCAUUUAAAGUGGUACGCGAGCUGGGUUUAGAACGUCGUGAGACAGUUCGGUCCCUAUCUGCCGUGGGCGCUGGAGAACUGAGGGGGGCUGCUCCUAGUACGAGAGGACCGGAGUGGACGCAUCACUGGUGUUCGGGUUGUCAUGCCAAUGGCACUGCCCGGUAGCUAAAUGCGGAAGAGAUAAGUGCUGAAAGCAUCUAAGCACGAAACUUGCCCCGAGAUGAGUUCUCCCUGACUCCUUGAGAGUCCUGAAGGAACGUUGAAGACGACGACGUUGAUAGGCCGGGUGUGUAAGCGCAGCGAUGCGUUGAGCUAACCGGUACUAAUGAACCGUGAGG
RNAcentral lists this ribosomal RNA (1989 nucleotides) under Escherichia coli. Its description in RNAcentral is "partial 23S ribosomal RNA". It matches the Rfam family "Bacterial large subunit ribosomal RNA", at positions 948 to 2915 of the family's 2925-position model. The record is from RNAcentral. Lineage: Bacteria; Pseudomonadati; Pseudomonadota; Gammaproteobacteria; Enterobacterales; Enterobacteriaceae.